RNAcentral lists this transfer RNA (92 nucleotides) under Candidatus Ryanbacteria bacterium RIFCSPHIGHO2_01_FULL_48_27. RNAcentral's name for it is "tRNA-Ser". It matches the Rfam family "tRNA". From Rfam's summary of the family: Transfer RNA (tRNA) molecules are approximately 80 nucleotides in length. Their secondary structure includes four short double-helical elements and three loops (D, anti-codon, and T loops). Lineage: Bacteria; Candidatus Ryaniibacteriota. RNAcentral also lists the same sequence under 1 other name. The record is from RNAcentral.
GGAGGCGUGGCUGAGCGGCUGAAAGCAACACACUGCUAAUGUGUUAGGGGCUUUAAAACCCCUCAGAGGUUCGAAUCCUCUCGCCUCCGCCG